This 253-nucleotide ribosomal RNA is filed under the name uncultured bacterium. RNAcentral's name for it is "partial 16S ribosomal RNA". It matches the Rfam family "Bacterial small subunit ribosomal RNA", at positions 524 to 776 of the family's 1533-position model. The record is from RNAcentral.
UACGUAGGGUGCAAGCGUUAAUCGGAAUUACUGGGCGUAAAGCGUGCGCAGGCGGCUUUGCAAGACAGAUGUGAAAUCCCCGGGCUCAACCUGGGAACUGCAUUUGUGACUGCAAGGCUAGAGUACGGCAGAGGGGGAUGGAAUUCCGCGUGUAGCAGUGAAAUGCGUAGAUAUGCGGAGGAACACCGAUGGCGAAGGCAGCCUCCUGGGCCAACACUGACGCUCAUGCACGAAAGCGUGGGGAGCAAACAGG